This 301-nucleotide ribosomal RNA is filed under the name uncultured bacterium. RNAcentral's name for it is "partial 16S ribosomal RNA". It matches the Rfam family "Bacterial small subunit ribosomal RNA", at positions 509 to 807 of the family's 1533-position model. The record is from RNAcentral.
CAGCAGCCGCGGUAAUACGAAGGGUGCAAGCGUUACUCGGAAUUACUGGGCGUAAAGCGUGCGUAGGUGGUGGUUUAAGUCCGUUGUGAAAGCCCUGGGCUCAACCUGGGAAUUGCAGUGGAUACUGGGUCACUAGAGUGCGGUAGAGGAUAGUGGAAUUUCCGGUGUAGCAGUGAAAUGCGUAGAGAUCGGAAGGAACAUCUGUGGCGAAGGCGACUAUCUGGGCCAACACUGACACUGAGGCACGAAAGCGUGGGGAGCAAACAGGAUUAGAUACCCCCGUAGUCCCUGUCUCUUAUAC